This 1302-nucleotide ribosomal RNA is filed under the name metagenome. RNAcentral's name for it is "bacterial LSU rRNA". It matches the Rfam family "Bacterial large subunit ribosomal RNA", at positions 1635 to 2925 of the family's 2925-position model. The record is from RNAcentral.
UACACGACCGUACCGCAAACCGACACUGGUGCGCGAGAUGAGUAUUCUAAGCCGCUUGAGAGAACUCAGGAGAAGGAACUCGGCAAAUUGACACCGUAACUUCGGAAGAAGGUGUGCCUUUAGUAGGUGAAGUCCCUCGCGGAUGGAGCCCAAUGAGGUUGCAAAAAAUCGGUGGCUGCGACUGUUUAUUAAAAACACAGCACUCUGCAAACACGAAAGUGGACGUAUAGGGUGUGACGCCUGCCCGGUGCUGGAAGAUUAAAUGAUGGGGUGCAAGCUCUUGAUUGAAGUCCCAGUAAACGGCGGCCGUAACAAUAACGGUCCUAAGGUAGCGAAAUUCCUUGUCGGGUAAGUUCCGACCUGCACGAAUGGCGUAACGAUGGCCACACUGUCUCCUCCUGAGACUCAGCGAAGUUGAAAUGUUUGUGAUGAUGCAAUCUCCCCGCGGAAAGACGGAAAGACCCCAUGAACCUUUACUGUAGCUUUGUAUUGGACUUUGAACAGAUCUGUGUAGGAUAGGUGGGAGGCUUUGAAGCAGGGUCGCUAGAUCUUGUGGAGCCAACGUUGAAAUACCACCCUGGUGUGUUUGAGGUUCUAACCUAGGCCCGUAAUCCGGGUUGGGGACAGUGCAUGGUAGGCAGUUUGACUGGGGCGGUCUCCUCCCAAAGUGUAACGGAGGAGUUCGAAGGUACGCUAGUUACGGUCGGACAUCGUGACGAUAGUGCAAUGGCAUAAGCGUGCUUAACUGCGAGACUGACAAGUCGAGCAGAUGCGAAAGCAGGACAUAGUGAUCCGGUGGUUCUGUAUGGAAGGGCCAUCGCUCAACGGAUAAAAGGUACUCUGGGGAUAACAGGCUGAUACCGCCCAAGAGUUCAUAUCGACGGCGGUGUUUGGCACCUCGAUGUCGGCUCAUCUCAUCCUGGGGCUGUAGCCGGUCCCAAGGGUAUGGCUGUUCGCCAUUUAAAGAGGUACGUGAGCUGGGUUUAAAACGUCGUGAGACAGUUUGGUCCCUAUCUUCCGUGGGCGCUGCAGAUUUGAGGAAGCCUGCUCCUAGUACGAGAGGACCGGAGUGGACGCACCUCUGGUGUAUCGGUUGUCACGCCAGUGGCAUUGCCGAGUAGCUAUGUGCGGAAGAGAUAACCGCUGAAAGCAUCUAAGCGGGAAACUCGUUUCAAGAUGAGAUCUGCCGGGGCCUUGAGCCCCCUGAAGAGUCGUUCAAGACCAGGACGUUGAUAGGUCGGGUGUGGAAGCGCAGUAAUGCGUUAAGCUAACCGAUACUAAUUGCUCGUGCGGCUUGACCAA